GAGCAAGGAAAAAUAUUUGAAGUAAUUGAGAGAACUAAGGACUCUGAUAAUUUUUAUUCAUAAUUCUGAAAGUCUUAAAUAGACUUAAUACUCAACUGAAAUACUACAAACUAGGAACACGAUCUGCUAACUCCUAACAAAUUCAACUAAUAGAAACAGAAUGGAAAUACUACUUCCUAAAGACUAGGACAAUUCUAACAACUUUAUUCCAACAGUCCCUCCCUUAAACUGAUGUUUACAAACAUUCAGUUUAGAGCUUUUGAUGUGCAG
RNAcentral lists this long non-coding RNA (270 nucleotides) under Nicotiana benthamiana. Its description in RNAcentral is "long non-coding RNA (NBEN_LNC039349)". The record is from RNAcentral. Lineage: Eukaryota; Viridiplantae; Streptophyta; Magnoliopsida; Solanales; Solanaceae.